AGAAAUGAUCAGGAAAACAACCCAUCUCCAAACAUGAUCCAUGGAAUGACAUCAGUCAUUCCUGAUUUCUUCUUUCUCUUUUUGGCAGUGGGAAUAAUCUAAGACUAGAUUUUGACAAGAUUUCAGCAUCAUUUGGUCAAUGAGGACAAAGGAAGAAUUUUGAAGUUUUUCUUUUCUAAUUGUUAAAAAUUUCAAAUGAUGCCACCAAUGGCAACUGUCAAGAUACAGGUAUGCAGUGGAUGAAUGAUAUUGAGAAAAAGUCAGAACACUUUAGGAACAGAGGUUUAGAGCCUGAAUAAAGAUCUCUUCCUUAAUUGACAUCAUUACAUCAUCCAUCACCCAAAAGCAACAGGAAUUAUUGGCUCUGAGUGACAAAGGUGGUUCACUGAGGACUCUGAAGUUUUAUGACAGUUUCAUCAAUACCUUAAAGCUUGAGGUUAUGGAUGAGGUCCUGCACCAGGGUGGUGGCUUUGUGGAUUGAGAAAAUAAGACAUAUAUGACAAGACUUGGCAACAUACUUCCUAUAUGGGGUUUUAGACAUCUAAUCCAAAAGAACAUUCAUGAUACAAGACUAGAACUCAAGAGUUCCUAGGACUGGAUAUAAGAGAUCUAAUAAUCAUCUUCAUAGACAAGGCAAUUGAAUCCAUGUGAACAGAUGAAAUCACCAACUGAGACAAGAUAGAGUGUCUGGAGAAGAAAUGGAAUCUUAAAAAUUAAGAAUUUAAAGGAACCUCAAAAUGAGCUAGUACAAAGGUUCUUAACCUGGAGUCCAUAAAAUUAAAAAAAAUUCUUAUGAUAAUAUUUUAAUGUAAUUGUCCUUUGUAGUCACAUGUAUUUCAUUUUAUGCAUUCCAAAACAUUAUUCUAAGUAGCUCAUACUUCCCCAGAUUGAUAAAAGAGAUCCAUGACACAAAAAUUUAAGAAUCCCUGAUCAUCCAAGAUACCUCUAACCAUUUAGAGAAAUUAGCCAGCAAAACAUGUCAAGGUUUUUAUCAAUUAAAGCAGAAAUUUUCAAAGUGUGGAUAUGCCUUAUUUUUUGAAAGGAAACAAAAUACUCUGGGACUACCAAGAAGUGUGUGCAUGCAUAUACAUGCAUAUGUGUAGUGAAGCAAUAGCCAAAAUUAUUUGAUAUCUUUUGUUACAGUUCUCAAACCAACAUAUGUACCCCUUUCAAUAAAAAUUUGAAAUCAAACAAAAGCAAAAUUAUAGUGAUAAGUUUACUCCCAUUGACAAUAAAUGCAUUAUAGUGAUAACUUAAUAUAGCAGUAUAUGCAAAUAAAUUUAAAUUAAAACAGUUUGUGCUCGAUUCUUAACCUGAGAGCAAACUGCCAUUGUUACAAUCAGUUGGUAUAGGCUCAUAAUAUACAUGUGUUGUUGCAUAGUUUUUUGAAUGUGAACUAUGUGAUCUUGAAAUGAAAUAAUCUUUGUGUAGAAAAUAAUACCUGAUGUGUUUCUCAGUGUCAUUUAUUUUGCCAAAACAAAAACAAGAACAAAAACAAACCGUUUCAAUUUUUUUCUAAAUCUAAAUCAAAAUGUCAAGAACUGCCAGGAGCCAUCAAGACCUCGCUGUUUGAUGGUCCACGUGGAAACAAGGGACUGCAAAGCAGCCCCCAGGAAGGAUGGAAACACCCACUGAAAACCCCCCAAGUGACUUUCCUUAUUUACAUCCCCUUAUUAUUGGAAUUGCAAUGAUUAUUAUUCUUACUUAGCCCCAGGAAAAAUAGAUGAGAGCAACAUGCUUGGAGGGUUAAUACAGAUGUCCCACUCUGUUCCCACAGGACAUUACCAGGAAAGCCCACUUACAAAAUUAAACCUAAGGAUUCUUAUAUACCCACUUAGAUAGGACCCUCUUUUCUAGGCAUAAAAACUUCUGGUAAAUCUGUGCUCUGAAUUUCCUAACCUAUAUCUGGGUCAUGUUGAUUCUACACACUGAUCCUGCCCUUAGCAACAAUGUUUUGUUAUCGAUCUCCCUAGGCUUCCUAUCUGUUGUUAGGUUCCAUGGAGACAUGUAUGUUCAGAAUGAAAUUGUGUGUCGAGUAGAUGUGUGAUCAUGAGUAUAUAAAAUAAAUCCAGACUUCAGCCAAGGUGGUGCAGUUAAUCCUGUGAAACCUGUGCUGCAGGUUGAAUGCAAAA
Monodelphis domestica (gray short-tailed opossum) is the source of this 2132-nucleotide long non-coding RNA. RefSeq lists it as uncharacterized. Lineage: Eukaryota; Metazoa; Chordata; Mammalia; Didelphimorphia; Didelphidae. The record is from RefSeq and is a predicted model, not a curated record.